CCGCCCAAUGCGCCGCCCACACCUGCUUCGGUGGUGCCUCCGGCAGAAGCGAAGCCACUGACCAGGCCAAGGGACAACAAGAGAAUCGAGGAGAACUUCAUAGAGGAGCCUCAAAGGGAUGACGGCGCGAUCCUGAGGCUCUGGAAUGGGCGUGACAAUCGAAAUCCGACGAAUAACACGACUUGUAUACAAUUCUGCAAGUUACUGAUUUUUGGGCGGAACUUAACGGUUUUUCGCCGGUCUUUAGCUACUUCGGACAGGCCGCUUUGAUUACAAGGCGGCCUUUUUUGUGGGCGCUUGGAAAGUGUUCGCGCAGGAAAAAAUCAUUGAUUCGGCUGCCGCUUUCGCGAGCAAGCUCGCU
This 361-nucleotide small RNA is filed under the name Pseudomonas moraviensis. RNAcentral's name for it is "sRNA P34". It matches the Rfam family "Pseudomonas sRNA P34". Lineage: Bacteria; Pseudomonadati; Pseudomonadota; Gammaproteobacteria; Pseudomonadales; Pseudomonadaceae. The record is from RNAcentral.